This 526-nucleotide ribosomal RNA is filed under the name uncultured Aerococcus sp. Its description in RNAcentral is "bacterial SSU rRNA". It matches the Rfam family "Bacterial small subunit ribosomal RNA", at positions 28 to 525 of the family's 1533-position model. The record is from RNAcentral. Lineage: Bacteria; Bacillati; Bacillota; Bacilli; Lactobacillales; Aerococcaceae.
GACGAACGCUGGCGGCGUGCCUAAUACAUGCAAGUCGAGCGAACAGAGAAAGUGCUUGCACUUUCAAAGUUAGCGGCGGACGGGUGAGUAACACGUAAGGAACCUACCGAUAAGCGGGGGGACAACAUCCGGAAACGGGUGCUAAUACCGCAUAGGAAGUUUGUUCGCAUGAACAAACUUAGAAAGAUGGCUCUGCUAUCACUUAUCGAUGGCCUUGCGGUGCAUUAACUAGUUGGGCGGAGGUAACGGCUCACCCAAGGUGAUGAUGCAUAGCCGACCUGAGAGGGUAAUCGGCCACAUUGGGACUGAGACACGGCCCAAACUCCUACGGGAGGCAGCAGUAGGGGAAUCUUCCGCAAUGGACGCAAGUCUGACGGAGCAAACGCCGCGUGAGUGAAGAAGGUUUUCGGCUCGUAAAGCUCUGUUGGUAGUGAAGAAAGAUAGAGGUAGUAACUGGCCUUUAUUUGACGGUAAUUACUUAGAAAAGUCACGGGCUAACUACGUGCCCAGCAGCCGCGGGUAAAUA